RNAcentral lists this ribosomal RNA (261 nucleotides) under uncultured bacterium. Its description in RNAcentral is "partial 16S ribosomal RNA". It matches the Rfam family "Bacterial small subunit ribosomal RNA", at positions 793 to 1055 of the family's 1533-position model. The record is from RNAcentral.
GUCCUAGCCUUAAACGAUGCAUACUAGAUGUAAGAGGGCUCAACCCCUUUUGUAUCGGAGCUAACGCGUUAAGUAUGCCGCCUGGGGAGUACGCUCGCAAGGGUGAAACUCAAAAGAAUUGACGGGGCCCGCACAAGCAGUGGAGCAUGUGGUUUAAUUCGACGCAACGCGAAGAACCUUACCUGGGCUCGAAGUGCAGAUGACCAUCGGCGAAAGUCGACUUCCGCAAGGACAUCUGUAGAGGUGCUGCAUGGCUGUCGU